GGAUCAGAGAUAUGCAUGAAGAUCUUAAACGGACUUCAUUCAUCCGAAUCAAGUGGCUCCAAACCAUAGGAGCAUGCGUUUGCUAAAUGUAUUGAAACGCACAUGGACUCUACUUGAUUUGGAAGGGAUAUGGUGAAUUAUGCCUUUGCGUGUUCAUUCCGGAUUUACAUGGACUCUUGAUGGAUCAAGAGAUGCCAAUAUGUCAACAUUCGAAGAAAAAGAUCUUGGGAAGACAUGGUCUCGAUAAGGCACUCGAUGACUGUAUUGAUGAUGAUUUUCCAUCAAUCGGCUUAGGCGCUCUAUAACUAGUGAGGCCUACAUAUACUCCUAUGAUUAGUCAAGGUCUUUGCUCUAAAGAGAGAUCUGUUGUUUUGUCUAAAGUAAGAUGACAAAUAUGUGUUAAGAGAUGGAGUUCCCAUCUAAGUACAAUUAGACGCAUCAAUGUACUCAACACAAUACGAAAGACUUGACAUCUCAUUCGCUAUGAAAAGUUGUAAAGCUAAGUGUAGCUAUGCGCCCACGCAACGCCAAUGUAAUGGCAGUAACUCCUUUUUCAAUACUUAAUGGUAUGAAAGGUUUAGGCUUAUUCUAUCCCUACAUAAGAAAGACACAUCAAUAGCGAAAUCAGAAUCUGCCAAGUUUCGUAGGUCAAGCUCCAUGGGACUUACAGGAAAUCUCACUCACUGGAAUAUGAUAAAAUUGGUACCAUUGGAAAGGUCUAUGUGUCUACUUUCCAGAGACACCAACCAUUUGAUCAUACCUAUCAUAUUGAGUGAGUUAUGGCCGUUUUCAUAAAGUAUGACGAAUCUGUCCGAGAAUCUGAUUUUGGCAAAACAGUCAACUUCGACUGGAUUUUGUGAACAGCUCCUGAUGAACCAGAAUGUGUGUAAUAUACGGUUGGGAAGCUAAAUGAGUCUAGUUUCCAAAACCGUUUACGGUUUGUUCAUAUGUAUUUCCUAGAGGAAGUUACGACUGUUCUAGUAAUUGAAGGUCAUGCUGCGCGGAAACCUGAUUUCCUGCACGAACUUAUGUUUUGAGUUCACAAGCGACCUUCUCCUCAAGAUCUAAGUGUAAAAGAUCAUUUGAGGACAAUACGACAUGAUUUAGUUAAUCAUUGUCUAAUGCCACAUUUGAAGACAUGUUAAAGAGCAUUGACAUGCUAAGUUUUUGAAACUUCCGUGAUUAGUAAGAAUCAAGAAGAGCCCUAUGAUUGAUGUAAAGAUCAGGGGGAGGUGCGAACUUCAGGGGGAGUCUAGCACAUACAUACAUGUCACUAUCAAAUGUGAAGGGUGCGUUGUACUCUUUUUCUCCUACGAUCAAGGUUCAAUUUUUCUCCCACAGGGUUUUUGU
RNAcentral lists this long non-coding RNA (1350 nucleotides) under Fragaria vesca (wild strawberry). RNAcentral's name for it is "long non-coding RNA (FVES_LNC004222)". Lineage: Eukaryota; Viridiplantae; Streptophyta; Magnoliopsida; Rosales; Rosaceae. The record is from RNAcentral.